RNAcentral lists this ribosomal RNA (348 nucleotides) under Triticum aestivum (bread wheat). RNAcentral describes it as "partial small subunit ribosomal RNA". Lineage: Eukaryota; Viridiplantae; Streptophyta; Magnoliopsida; Poales; Poaceae. The record is from RNAcentral.
AUGCCGUUGUACCUCCAGCGCCGCCUCACCAUCCCGGACAUCGCCGCGCACCGCUGGUCUCGGCCCUGCGCCGUGGCCUUCGCCGCGCUGGCGCCCGUGCUCCUCGCCACGGCAUGGACCUCGCACAACCCGGCGAAAUCAUCCUCGCACCACGCCGCCACCACAACAGCGACGGCCGCGCGAUCCUCCUCGUCGACGGCGUCCUUGGCCUCCUCCUCGCGGCCCUCACCGCGGCCACAACGGACACCGCGUCCCCUCCUAACGGGCGCCCGCGUGCCGUGGCUGGCGGUGGAGUUCCUGAUGAGCGUACUCUGGGGCUCUGGGCAUACACCCUGGCGCGCGAACUAG